GCGAUAAGUAGUGUGAAUUGCAGAAUUCAGUGAAUCAUCGAAUCUUUGAACGCACAUUGCGCCCUUUGGUAUUCCAAAGGGCAUGCCUGUUCGAGCGUCAUUUGUACCCUCAAGCUUUGCUUGGUGUUGGGCGUCUUGUCUCUAGCUUUGCUGGAGACUCGCCUUAAAGUAAUUGGCAGCCGGCCUACUGGUUUCGGAGCGCAGCACAAGUCGCACUCUCUAUCAGCAAAGGUCUAGCAUCCAUUAAGCCUUUUUUCAACUUUUGACCUCGGAUCAGGUAGGGAUACCCGCUGAACUUAAGC
RNAcentral lists this unclassified non-coding RNA (302 nucleotides) under plant metagenome. Its description in RNAcentral is "partial contains 5.8S ribosomal RNA, internal transcribed spacer 2, and large subunit ribosomal RNA". The stretch from base 1 to 100 matches the Rfam family "5.8S ribosomal RNA", at positions 55 to 154 of the family's 154-position model. The record is from RNAcentral.